GGCCUUGGCGAGCAAUCCUCUUAAUUCCCUGAAGACAAGAGAGAGGGGGCGAGAGACAGAAAGGAGCCGGGCUGCUUGCAACCCUUGUCAGUCCAGCGGGGAUGUUGGGAGCCCCAGCGGGGAGUGCCGAGACGUCCCGGCGACAAAAGUUCAAGUUCUUUUUUCAGUUCCAGCUGCAGCUGCCGAAUGCGGAUGUCCUUCUGGGCCAGCUCUUCUUUCAACCGCCGGAUCUCAUCCUGCUGCCGGAAGAACAUUCGGAGGAGCUGGGGUGGAGGAAGAGAGGGGCCAGGCGGCCGGGAGAGAGCAGGUGUUGAUUGUCUGUCUCCCUUCCGUGGAAUGUGAGAUCCCAAGAGGAAGGCUGGGUUCUGCACUGUUUCCCACUGAGUCUAGAGGCUGCCACACGGCUGAUACCCAGUAAGUGUUCAUUGAACGACGGUGUGAAAGGGCAGGAGGAGCCAGGUGUUCGGCCAGGUGCUCUCCAUCUAAGCUUUACAAUAGCCCUGAAAGGUAGGCUUGAUUUUUCCCUAUUUUACAGAUGGGGAAAUUGAGCCCCAGAAGGGUGAGCUAUACAUUUGAGCCAGGACGUCAACCUAGGUCUGACUCUACAGUCCAGGAUGCUUUUUAUUCUACUUGAUGAAGAGGUGACAGUGAGGAGGAGGAGGAGAUGACAGAGUCGGGGAGGGGUGCAGUCAAUGGAAUGGUCACUGGGCCUAUCUCAGGGCCGCCAUCUUGCUGCCAGUCACUGAGGUGGGCUCUCGGGCCCUUCCGGCACUGAUGGUCUGGAAGCUGGCUCUCAGGCCAUAUCCGUAGCACCGGAUCCCCAGAGGGAACAAGCCAGACUCGGGCUCCGAGGUAAGGAGGGAACAGGGCCCCCGAAGAAACUUCUUCCAACGGGCUGAUUCUGACCCCAAACAGGAAGUUGCUGAACUGUAUGCAAUAUGAAACUUUUGCUGUAAGACUUUAGCGGUGGUAGAACGUGGGGUGUGAAGAACUCACCAUGCUCCAUCAAUUCUGGACCCUCUGAAGGAUUUGCUUAGAGGCUGGGGAGCCUGGGGGUGCAGGGAUGGGGACACCCUGGGACUUCCUCCUGUCCUCUCAGGCAGGGACAGAGCUGCUCCUGGAGACUGGGGUCCUGGCUUCCUAAAGGCUUCAGGAAAGUGUCUGGACCCAGACUUUUCUCUGACCUUUAGUUUUUCAACCGCCUUACAAGAGUUCAGAGCCACUUGGAGCGCCAGUAUCCCCAUCUGCAAAUGGGAAUGAAGCCAGUGUGGGCCGCUGAUGACCAGAGGUGAUGGAGGAUGUCAGGCACCAUGGAAUGACAGUCAGUCAGGUGGGUGGUGACAGGCUGGCGAAGAAGGGCAGGCGGACCUUCCCAGGGGCAGCAUCUGCAGGUUCUGACUGCCCAUGAGCUGUGGGCUUCUGACUCUGAUUUUCAUUUAAAGGCAGGGGUGACCCAUGAACCAAACAUCCAGUCUCUUGUUCUAUAGCAUAACAGCCAUGGAAGCCUCUGGACCCCCUUACCUAGGC
Panthera uncia (snow leopard) is the source of this 1527-nucleotide long non-coding RNA. RefSeq lists it as uncharacterized. The transcript is spliced from 4 exons. NCBI's taxonomy places the organism in Eukaryota, Metazoa, Chordata, Mammalia, Carnivora, Felidae. The record is from RefSeq and is a predicted model, not a curated record.